This 442-nucleotide ribosomal RNA is filed under the name uncultured bacterium. Its description in RNAcentral is "bacterial SSU rRNA". It matches the Rfam family "Bacterial small subunit ribosomal RNA", at positions 28 to 452 of the family's 1533-position model. The record is from RNAcentral.
GACGAACGCUGGCGGCGUGCUUAACACAUGCAAGUCGAACGAUGAAGUUAUGACGGAGGCUUCGGCCGACAGAAUAACGGAAUAGUGGCGGACGGGUGAGUAACGCGUGAGUAACCUGCCUUUCAGAGAGGAAUAACAUUUGGAAACGAAUGGUAAUACCACAUAACAUUACGUUCUCGCAUGGGGAUGUAAUCAAAGAUUUUAUCGCUGAGAGAUGGACUCGCGUCCGAUUAGCUAGAUGGUGAGGUAACGGCCCACCAUGGCGACGAUCGGUAGCCGGACUGAGAGGUUGAACGGCCACAUUGGGACUGAGACACGGCCCAGACUCCUACGGGAGACAGCAGUUAGGAAUAUUCGUCAAUGGGGAAACCCUGAACGAGCAAUGCCGCGUGAGUGAUGAAGGUCUUUGGAUUGUAAAAACUCUGUUGUAUGGAAAAAAUGG